Molecule: ribosomal RNA, 253 nt
Filed under: uncultured bacterium
Lineage: Bacteria
Description: partial 16S ribosomal RNA
Rfam family: Bacterial small subunit ribosomal RNA
Source: RNAcentral
UACGUAGGGUGCGAGCGUUAAUCGGAAUUACUGGGCGUAAAGCGUGCGUAGGCGGUUCGUUAAGUUCGUUGUGAAAGCCCCGGGCUCAACCUGGGAACUGCAAUGGAAACUGGCGGGCUUGAGUGUGGCAGAGGGGGGUGGAAUUCCGCGUGUAGCAGUGAAAUGCGUAGAGAUGUGGAGGAACACCGAUGGCGAAGGCAGCCCCCUGGGCUGAGAUUGACGCUCAGGCACGAAAGCGUGGGGAGCAAACAGG